RNAcentral lists this small nucleolar RNA (70 nucleotides) under Marmota marmota marmota (Alpine marmot). RNAcentral's name for it is "Small nucleolar RNA SNORD77 (ENSMMMG00000015586.1)". It matches the Rfam family "Small nucleolar RNA SNORD77". Rfam says of the family: U77 belongs to the C/D family of snoRNAs. It is predicted to guide 2'O-ribose methylation of large 28S rRNA subunit at position A1521. The C/D snoRNAs U44, U47, U74, U75, U76, U78, U79, U80 and U81 share the same host gene as U77 (non-coding). The record is from Rfam by way of RNAcentral. Lineage: Eukaryota; Metazoa; Chordata; Mammalia; Rodentia; Sciuridae.
AUGAUAUGAUUGUUACAUAGUUCAUCAGAUUAAAUCAUGAAGAUUUUUUUUGUCAUUAUCUGAUGUAUCU